Molecule: ribosomal RNA, 500 nt
Filed under: uncultured bacterium
Lineage: Bacteria
Description: partial 16S ribosomal RNA
Rfam family: Bacterial small subunit ribosomal RNA
Source: RNAcentral
AUUGAACGCUGGCGGAAUGCUUUACACAUGCAAGUCGAACGGCAGCACGGACUUCGGUCUGGUGGCGAGUGGCGAACGGGUGAGUAAUGUAUCGGAACGUGCCCAGUCGUGGGGGAUAACGUAGUGAAAAUUACGCUAAUACCGCAUACGAUCUAUGGAUGAAAGCGGGGGAUCGCAAGACCUCGCGCGAUUGGAGCGGCCGAUAUCAGAUUAGGUAGUUGGUGGGGUAAAGGCCCACCAAGCCAACGAUCUGUACCUGGUCUGAGAGGACGACCAGCCACACUGGAACUGAGACACGGUCCAGACUCCUACGGGAGGCAGCAGUGGGGAAUUUUGGACAAUGGGCGAAAGCCUGAUCCAGCCAUUCCGCGUGCAGGAUGAAGGCCCUCGGGUUGUAAACUGCUUUUGUAUAGAACGAAAAGGUUUCUACUAAUACUAGGAGCUCAUGACGGUACUGUAAGAAUAAGCACCGACUAACUACGUGCCAGCCGCCGCUGUAA